AGGGAGUUUGAUCCUGGCUCAGGAUGAACGCUAGCGACAGGCCUAACACAUGCAAGUCGAGCGGCAGCACCUCGGGUGGCGAGCGGCGCACGGGUGAGUAACGCGUAUGUAACCUGCCCAUGAGUGGGGGAUAGCCCGGUGAAAACCGGAUUAAUACCCCAUGACACCAUUUUCUGACAUCAUUUAAUGGUUAAAGAUUCAUUGCUCAUGGAUGGACAUGCGUUGGAUUAGCUGGUUGGCGGGGCAACGGCCCACCAAGGCGACGAUCCAUAGGGGUUCUGAGAGGAAGGUCCCCCACAUUGGUACUGAGACACGGACCAAACUCCUACGGGAGGCAGCAGUGAGGAAUAUUGGUCAAUGGGCGGAAGCCUGAACCAGCCAAGUCGCGUGAAGGAUGAAGGUAUUAUGUAUUGUAAACUUCUUUAGCUGUGGAGAAAUAAGGUGGUCGAGACCACCGAUGCUAGUACACAGAGAAUAAGGAUCGGCUAACUCCGUGCCAGCAGCCGCGGUAAUACGGAGGAUCCGAGCGUUAUCCGGAUUCAUUGGGUUUAAAGGGUGCGCAGGCGGUGCCUUAAGUCAGCGGUAAAAUCGUGGGGCUCAACCCCAUCCCGCCGUUGAUACUGGGGCACUUGAUUACGGUCGAGGCAGGCGGAAUUCGUCGUGUAGCGGUGAAAUGCAUAGAUAUGACGAAGAACACCGAUUGCGUAGGCAGCCUACCAGGCCGUUAAUGACGCUCAUGCACGAAAGUGCGGGGAUCGAACAGGAUUAGAUACCCUGGUAGUCCCCU
Molecule: ribosomal RNA, 787 nt
Filed under: uncultured Bacteroidota bacterium
Lineage: Bacteria; Pseudomonadati; Bacteroidota
Description: bacterial SSU rRNA
Rfam family: Bacterial small subunit ribosomal RNA
Source: RNAcentral